UUAGCAAAGAGCCAUUAGGCCUUGGUCUUUGGCCAAUGAGGAAGAUCAGAAAGGGAGAACCCCCAUUCUCAUGUUCUCCCCUUGCCCGUCUCUUUCUCCUCUUGCCUUCAUUUCGUUCACCAAAAAUAGCCCCGCUGCGCCGAAAGUCACCUUCAGCGGCAGGGCUGCCCAGAAACUGAACAUACCCUCCUCAAAACCUUUGUUUACUCACCCUCAACAUGAAUCCCUCACUGAAAUCAAUCAAAACCUAUCCCUAAUCCAUAAAUCUAAUUUAGACAUAAACCCUAAAAUUUAGAACUUAAAUUAAAUGGCGAUGUAGCAUGGAAUCAAGCAAUUUGCAUAUGGUUUCUACUCAGUGCAUCACAAACAGCGCCAUAGUAACAAGAAUUUGAAGAAAAGAUGAAGAAAAAUCACCGACUUUGAAUGUUCUCAGAGUGUCCAAAUCCCCAGGUUGGGCAUGAAGUUUAUGCAGCCUGGUUUAUUGGUUGGGCAUGAAUUUAGGCAUGGUCCAUGAAGCAUUUUAGAAACAUUGAAACUACUUGGACAUGAAGAUAUGUGAUGAUAAUUGAAGAAUGGAAGCAAACUGAAGCUGAAAACAGUUAGGUCUUAGGUAAAAUUGGGGUCCUGGUCAAACUUCGGUCAAUUGUUUGACAAGAAGUCAAUAGUUGACCAAAAAUCUAUUGUCGGUCAAGACUUGGAUUUUUCAAGUAUCAAUUUUGUAAUAUUUUUUUCUUGUAUUUUGGUACAUUUGAAUGUAAUGUUGACUUGCACUUCAAGAAACAAAGCUCCUUUAUAUUUUCUUUCCAUUUCUUU
Molecule: long non-coding RNA, 813 nt
Organism: Lathyrus oleraceus (garden pea)
Lineage: Eukaryota; Viridiplantae; Streptophyta; Magnoliopsida; Fabales; Fabaceae
Exons: 2
Source: RefSeq, a predicted model, not a curated record